RNAcentral lists this transfer RNA (62 nucleotides) under Physunio superbus. RNAcentral describes it as "tRNA-Val". The record is from RNAcentral. Lineage: Eukaryota; Metazoa; Mollusca; Bivalvia; Unionida; Unionidae.
CAAAAAGUAGUAUAAAAUUUUACAACUUGCUUACACCAAGUAAAAGGUUAAAACCCUUUUUG